Molecule: non-coding RNA, 1030 nt
Organism: Camelina sativa (false flax)
Lineage: Eukaryota; Viridiplantae; Streptophyta; Magnoliopsida; Brassicales; Brassicaceae
Source: RefSeq, a predicted model, not a curated record
AAAAUUGAAAUAAAGCAUUUCUGUUGUAACCUUUUUUUUUUCUUCGUGCUCUGCAUCAACUUCAUCAUCUUCAUCGUACUUCAUCGUUCUUCAUCGUCUCUGUUAAAUCCAUCACCACUAUUAUCUUCGCUCCCGAUUCACAAUACAUCGCCAACAUUAUGUCCUCCAAUAAACCCAAAGGAUUCAAUUGAUUUUCUUUUAAAUAUAUAGUGAACCCAAGGGAUAUAAUUUUAAACAACGAUCGGAUCAAUUGAUUUCUUCGAUUUAUCAUGAGAUCAUUAUCAUGGCGGCUUCUGAGUUACUAUAGAGACAGAUUUUUGCGUAGUAGAGAUAGCCUAUUAAGGUGACAAGGAAUGGUGGAAGGUGGUGAAGCAGAAGGGUUUCGGUUGAAUCGGGAUGGGUUUGGUGGUUGCGCGGCGGAGGAGAGCCAUCGAAGAUGAGUUAGGAGGGUGGGGAGCGACUAUUUAGCCAUAGCGGUGGAGACGGCAAAGGAGUAGAUCGGAGACGAUGACAUAGAAGAGAUAUUUAGAAGAUUCGAAAUGGAGAUGUAUGUGCUCUUUGAAGUUGUUCAUCACCGAAGAGAGAGAGAACAGAGAAGGCUGCGGUGGAGAUCGAAGCGUUUGAGUUCAGCUUUUAGAGGGCAAUGUCGUCAUUUUAGUGCAAAAUAAAUACCUAAAUCUGAAAAGACGUAAAAGCUUUGAUGGAAGGAGGAGGAAACGAUAAAAGCUUGACGAUGAGUCAAGAGGACAAGAAAAAUUUAUCUCAGGUUCCAGAACCGUCACCAUCGACAGACGGAGGUUCUUCUUCUAUCAAGUACCCGAUUUUGAAUUCAAGCAACUAUAUUGUAUGGUCUAUGAAGAUGAGAAUCCUGCUUAGGGUUCACAAAUCAUGGGAUGUAAUAGAAAAAGGAAGCUUUGAUGAGACAAAGAACGAUUUGGCAAUCGCUCUUAUCAUACAGUCUAUCCCUGAAACUCUUACUCUCCAAGUUGGAACUCUAGAGACUUCAAAGGAGAUAUGGGAAGCUAUCAGA